This is a non-coding RNA of Merluccius polli (Benguela hake), 72 nucleotides long. The record is from the annotation of a GenBank genome assembly. NCBI's taxonomy places the organism in Eukaryota, Metazoa, Chordata, Actinopteri, Gadiformes, Merlucciidae.
GUGUAGAUAUUCUAAUGGUUAAGCUGCUGGACUCCAGCCGAAAGGUCCUGGGUUCGAUCCCCAGUGUCCACA